Molecule: small RNA, 517 nt
Filed under: Pongo abelii (Sumatran orangutan)
Lineage: Eukaryota; Metazoa; Chordata; Mammalia; Primates; Hominidae
Description: processed transcript
Source: RNAcentral
GCACCCACCUUCUCUCAAAACCCUCCCAGCAUCUGUGAGGUCACUAGGGUUCUCUCUGUUCUACAAAUGACAAAAAGUGGCUCAGAGAAGUGCAAGGACUUGUCCAAGGUCAUCCGGAGUUUGGUUCAAGCCUAGGUCUCUCUGUGCCCUUGACCCUGUGUCUUAGCGACUCAUCUCAGGGCUGUUGGAAGAAGAGACUUCCAGUGACGCUGCCAUGGGAGCCAGCUCAUGGUCCAUCUUCUUUCUCUCUAGUAAUGACCAAAAUAGAUGCUGUGGCUGGAAUCAACUAUGGUCUGGUGGCACCUCCAGCAACCACGGCUGAGACCCUGGAUGUACAGAUGAAGUUAUUUGUUUGUUUCAAAACACAUUCAAUGUGAAAAAGAAACUUUAGAAACUGCAGAGGAAUGCAGAAAUAAAUAUAGGAAAGAAGAAAAAGAAAAAAAAAGAGAGAGAAGAAUUACCCGAGUCUACAACCUAGAGAUAAGCAUCAUCAAUAAAUAAGUGUAGAUCCCUCCAA